CAGGACCUCAGCAUCCUUUUACAAUAAACUUUUUGCAACUAUAUUUACUGCAAAACAAUCAUGGGCAGAAAUGAUCCACAAUGAAACCAUAGAACAAAGUUGAAAAAAAUUAAGUAUAGAAGACAACAAGAAAAAUGAAAAAAAAGGAAUCCUCUGGAAUCUUCACAUCAAGUGCUACAACCCUUCAUUUGAUGCAUUGCUGAAGCAUCAACAUCUGUUGUGUAUGGGAUCAGACCCCCUCCGGACUCUUCUGUCACUCAUCCUGUUUGGAUCAACAGAUGAAGCUCUCUUGGCCGGGUAGCCCUUGUUGUGGAGGUUGGCAACAGUCCUCUCAGCAAGCAUCCGCGGCUUGUUCCCUUGUCUGAGGAAAAGACUAACGCCUUUCAAGCCGUAUGCCUUCUGCUGAUGAGCUAACAGCAACAGGCAUAGAAGAAUGGUUAGGAGCCUCUUGGCAAGCACUGCCAUUUCCCCUCCAAUGUUUCCUCCUGUGAGUAACACUAGUUUGU
This 506-nucleotide long non-coding RNA is filed under the name Setaria italica (foxtail millet). Its description in RNAcentral is "long non-coding RNA (SITA_LNC004697)". Lineage: Eukaryota; Viridiplantae; Streptophyta; Magnoliopsida; Poales; Poaceae. The record is from RNAcentral.